UACUUUAUAGAGCAAUAGUAGCUCGCUUAACUUCCACUUAAGAGAUUGUAGGUGCGAUUCCUACUAAAGUAACCA
RNAcentral lists this transfer RNA (75 nucleotides) under Calothrix sp. NIES-4101. RNAcentral describes it as "tRNA-Gly". It matches the Rfam family "tRNA". From Rfam's summary of the family: Transfer RNA (tRNA) molecules are approximately 80 nucleotides in length. Their secondary structure includes four short double-helical elements and three loops (D, anti-codon, and T loops). Lineage: Bacteria; Bacillati; Cyanobacteriota; Cyanophyceae; Nostocales; Calotrichaceae. The record is from RNAcentral.